RNAcentral lists this ribosomal RNA (731 nucleotides) under Ilumatobacter sp. RNAcentral describes it as "bacterial SSU rRNA". It matches the Rfam family "Bacterial small subunit ribosomal RNA", at positions 1 to 748 of the family's 1533-position model. Lineage: Bacteria; Bacillati; Actinomycetota; Acidimicrobiia; Acidimicrobiales; Ilumatobacteraceae. The record is from RNAcentral.
UUGGAGAGUUUGAUCCUGGCUCAGGAUGAACGCUGGCGGCACGCUUAACACAUGCAAGUCGAACGAGGUCCAUGGAGCUUGCUCCGGAAGACCUAGUGGCGAACGGGUGCGUAACACGUGAGAAAUCUGCCCCGGACUCUGGAAUAACAGUUGGAAACGACUGCUAAUACCGGAUGCCUUCAUUUGGCCGCAUGGUCGUUUGAAGAAAGAUUUAUCGGUUUGGGAGGAUCUCGCGGCCUAUCAGCUUGUUGGAGAGGUAACGGCUCACCAAGGCAUCGACGGGUAGCUGGUCUGAGAGGAUGAUCAGCCACACUGGAACUGAGACACGGUCCAGACUCCUACGGGAGGCAGCAGUGGGGAAUCUUGCACAAUGGGCGAAAGCCUGAUGCAGCGAUGCCGCGUGCGGGAAGAAGGCCCUAGGGUUGUAAACCGCUUUCAGGAGGGAAGAAAAUGACGGUACCUCCAGAAGAAGGUGCGGCCAACUACGUGCCAGCAGCCGCGGUGACACGUAGGCACCAAGCGUUAUCCGGAUUUAUUGGGCGUAAAGAGCUCGUAGGCGGUUUGGUAAGUCGGGUGUGAAAACUCUGGGCUCAACCCAGAGAGGCCACUCGAUACUGCUAUGACUAGAGUACGGUAGGGGAGCGGGGAAUUCCUGGUGUAGCGGUGAAAUGCGCAGAUAUCAGGAGGAACACCAGCGGCGAAGGCGCCGCUCUGGGCCGUAACUGACGCUG